RNAcentral lists this ribosomal RNA (600 nucleotides) under Enterobacter ludwigii. Its description in RNAcentral is "bacterial SSU rRNA". It matches the Rfam family "Bacterial small subunit ribosomal RNA", at positions 41 to 632 of the family's 1533-position model. The record is from RNAcentral. Lineage: Bacteria; Pseudomonadati; Pseudomonadota; Gammaproteobacteria; Enterobacterales; Enterobacteriaceae.
GGCGGGCGCGCUACCAUGCAGUCGAACGGUAGCACAGAGAGCUUGCUCUCGGGUGACGAGUGGCGGACGGGUGAGUAAUGUCUGGGAAACUGCCUGAUGGAGGGGGAUAACUACUGGAAACGGUAGCUAAUACCGCAUAACGUCGCAAGACCAAAGAGGGGGACCUUCGGGCCUCUUGCCAUCAGAUGUGCCCAGAUGGGAUUAGCUAGUAGGUGGGGUAACGGCUCACCUAGGCGACGAUCCCUAGCUGGUCUGAGAGGAUGACCAGCCACACUGGAACUGAGACACGGUCCAGACUCCUACGGGAGGCAGCAGUGGGGAAUAUUGCACAAUGGGCGCAAGCCUGAUGCAGCCAUGCCGCGUGUAUGAAGAAGGCCUUCGGGUUGUAAAGUACUUUCAGCGGGGAGGAAGGUGUUGUGGUUAAUAACCGCAGCAAUUGACGUUACCCGCAGAAGAAGCACCGGCUAACUCCGUGCCAGCAGCCGCGGUAAUACGGAGGGUGCAAGCGUUAAUCGGAAUUACUGGGCGUAAAGCGCACGCAGGCGGUCUGUCAAGUCGGAUGUGAAAUCCCCGGGCUCAACCUGGGAACUGCAUUCGAAA